Molecule: unclassified non-coding RNA, 106 nt
Filed under: uncultured Ascomycota
Lineage: Eukaryota; Fungi; Ascomycota
Description: sequence contains ITS2
Source: RNAcentral
AACUCUCAGCGAAAGCUGGUUGUGGAGGAGGCGGGUGCCCCUUUGAAAUAUCUCAGCAUUGUGCAACGGCGCAACGUGAAUCUUUGCUGUGACAAUACUCUCUAUC